AACGAACGCUGGCGGCAUGCCUAACACAUGCAAGUCGAACGAGACCUUCGGGUCUAGUGGCGCACGGGUGCGUAACGCGUGGGAACCUGCCCUUAGGUUCGGAAUAACUCCCCGAAAGGGGUGCUAAUACCGGAUAAUGUCUUCGGACCAAAGAUUUAUCGCCUUUGGAUGGGCCCGCGUUGGAUUAGCUAGUUGGUAGGGUAAAAGCCUACCAAGGCGACGAUCCAUAGCUGGUCUGAGAGGAUGAUCAGCCACACUGGGACUGAGACACGGCCCAGACUCCUCCGGGAGGCAGCAGUGGGAAUAUUGGACAAUGGGCGAAAGCCUGAUCCAGCAAUGCCGCGUGAGUGAUGAAGGCCUUAGGGUUGUAAAGCUCUUUUACCCGGGAUGAUAAUGACAGUACCGGGAGAAUAAGCUCCGGCUAACUCCGUG
Molecule: ribosomal RNA, 432 nt
Filed under: uncultured bacterium
Lineage: Bacteria
Description: partial 16S ribosomal RNA
Rfam family: Bacterial small subunit ribosomal RNA
Source: RNAcentral